This 3058-nucleotide long non-coding RNA is filed under the name Homo sapiens (human). RNAcentral's name for it is "WAPL divergent transcript (WAPL-DT)". The record is from RNAcentral. Lineage: Eukaryota; Metazoa; Chordata; Mammalia; Primates; Hominidae.
GCGAGGUCGCGGGCCGAGGACCAGGCGCGGGAGCGGGAGCGGGCGACUGGCCGGGCCCUCCCGGUCUCGGCAGCCACUUCUAGCUCCCGGCCCAGCCGGGAGACGCAGGUGCCACGGAGAUGGGCAGCCGGGCGGGUGGCGCAGUGCAGGCAGCUGUAUCAAUCGCUUCCCCUCCAGGGACCCGCCGGUGCCUGGGGACCGCGGGCUGUGCAGCUGUGCCGGGCCUGCGGAGGCCGCCGCCCGGGAGCUGGGAGGCAGGGGGCGCGUGGUCAAGAGCCGCCCUCGACCUGGCCUGGUCGGUCCUGGCCCGGCGUAGGUGACGAUGGCGGGGACCGCGAGGCGCCGGACACCCGAGGCCACGAGCAGCGUCGCCCCUCGCUUUUUCGCGCCCCUCCAGCCCUGCAGUCCUUCCUCUAAGUCCGUCUGCCCCUCACCGAUUGAAAGUGGCCCCGAGAAUAUUGGAUGAGUGAUCUGGUGUCAGGACUGUAAAAUACGCCUAUGAAAACUGGGGGAGAGGAAUAAAACAAGCUGGCAGAACGUUUUUCAUCGUUGAAGCUGCGUGAUGCGAGCAUAUGUGCUCAUCAUACAGUCUCUUUACUUGUGUAUCUGAAAUUUUCCAUAAUAAAAAGUUUAAAGAAGUGAACCAGCGAUUGCCUCUAGGGAGGACAGUGAGGUGGCGGAUGACGGGAGGAAGGAGUCUUAAUUUUUCGCUGUACGCCUUUUUGUGCUAUCUUAGGUUUUUCCCAUUCAAUGUGUUACCUAAUUCAGAAAAUUGGUAAGUUUUUUUUAAGGCUACCAUGGGAAAACAGCGUUCUAAAGAGUAGCGCAACCAGUUCCCCCUAAGAGAGGUGCAUGAUUCGUCGGACUCCGACAGCCUUGGUGUUUGUUAGGCGGUUAAUGGAGACCCACCUGGGAAAUUAGAAAACUACUAAUUGCUUUCAGUGAGAAGCCCGCCCUUCUCCCACAAAUGGAUAAUUUGCUUUUAAUGCACCCAGAAGUUAUCCAGCUCCCUCCGGUAUAAUCGGGGAAACUCCAAAUAAAGGAAAAAUAGUUCAGAGACCCUGCAGCUCUUCCCAAGAGGAAUUUAAGGUGGAUUUUAGUGUGGUUGGAUUGUUUUGCCUACCUGACUGCAGAAUUUAUAUUCUGACAUUUACAAUUUCCUAAAUACUGAAUCAGUACUUUUUCUUGUUUCAAAAUAAAUCAACUUCUUCUGUAGUUUAUAUGAAAAACAAGUCCAUGUCUUCCACUGUGGGUGGGAUGCACAUGACUGUUUUAUUUGGGUCAGUUUUGUCUCUUUUUUUAAUUGGCAGUUUAGGAACUUGUUUUUAUCAUUUUGUUUAAAGAUCUUCUGGCAGAGGUGCAGGCUGCACUUACUAUAAUUAUUUAGAUGACAAGGUGGUGGGUGGUAAUUAAAGGGUAAUUAUCAUCAGAGGCAAAAGGUAAGAUCAAAAAACCAGAAGAGGUGAGGAAACAAUUGCAAGAUCUUCCUGUAGGAGGGUGUCGUGAUCCUCCCAAGACCAAAGGAUAUGUCUAUUAUGCCUGGCCUCUCUAGUGCUGGACACUUGGCAGGGUCAGUGCCUGCAUGAGGCUGAAGUGGAAGGGCUUAUUGUUUAGACUGGUGCCUUUUGAGGGCUUUUAUGUGAUGGUUGUGUUAAGUAAUGAAACUUAGUAGUGUCAAAUUCUUGCCACUCAAAGAAUGAUCCCCAAUCAGCAGUGUAGCAUCACCUGGAAGCCUGUAAGGAACGCAUAAUUCCUAUCCCUCACCCCAGCUCCACUGAAUCAGAACCUGCAUUUUAACAGGAUUCCCCCAGCUGAUUGGGCUGCACAUUAAAGUUUGACAAGCACUGAUUUAAAGUAUACCCAUAGCAUUUGACAGCAAUCUAGUAUUUUUCGUUAGGAUGAGGGAGAGGAAGGGAGAUGAUUAAGAACCUCCUAUGCAUCAGGUAAGAUGCUAGGCUGUUCAGGGGCCUUGUCUGCUUCCCAGUCCAUUACUCUAUCUUACAAGUAAGGAAAUGGGAAGACUUGUAUGUUACAACUAAUGAGGGAGUCAAACUUUUUCUUGACGGUUGGAUACCCUUUAGUACUUCUUGGUGUUCUUGAAUCUGGUAGAAAGUGGUACAUGAUUUGAGAAGUAAAGUGUGUGUGAGUGUGUGUGUGUGUGUGUGUGUGUGUGUGUAUUUAGUCUGUGGAAGCUUAGUAUAUGAAUAUUAAGCAGAGCUCUUCUGGGCUCUGUACCCUUGUGUGGCUCACACUAAAGACACCCCUCGGGCCCCUCCUGGAGGGAGUUCAGACUCCUGGCCCUGCAGGCUGUACCACCACCUUAACCCCUUACCUCCCUGCUUCCACUGAGGCAAGCAAAUGCCCUGAAGUCCCCUCAUUCCCUUACCAGGGCCCUGGGUUCCACACCAGAAUGAGCAAACAGAACUCCAGUGUGGGUAACACAUGGCUGAACAGCUUUUUGUUGUAUUGUUUUUGUUUUCUUAGUUCUCUCAGCUCAGGCUCCAUCCCCCUGGCCACCUCAACCCCUAGAAUGGUUGUCUCCAUUUCAUGAGAAUCUUCACACUAACAUCAAGUAGCCAGUAGGUGCUUUUGGUUUUGCUAGAAUGCCUGUGUGCAAGCUCUCAGAUACCUGAUUUUCUUUCCCCCACUGAAUGUUGUGUUUGUCAGAAACUGAAAUCAUGGAUCAGAGCCAAGUUUGUAGUACCCUUAGGAGGGGCCUCUGCCCUCCUGUGUGCUGCCUGGGUGAGGACAGAACCCCCUAACCUGGAGCUCCACUUGAGUGGGCCCAUACCUGUACUUUCCUCUGAAAAAAGAAAAUCCUGCAAAGAAAAUAGAAGACAUCUGUUCUGCCAUUGCCAUGCCCUUGUUCUAGCCCAGACAUGAGAACUGUCAGAAUUGGAGUUACUAAAUAGAACUUUUAGUCUUUUUCUGAUAAUGUGUAGUAAAGUGUAUUACAACUUAUAGAAUUCUAUUUAGGGAACUACAGGUCAGAAACUACCAUAUUGGUAGCAGUCAAUUUUUCUUUGCCAUCGGAUGUGGAAUAAAAUGUUAAAUUGUA